Nyctereutes procyonoides (raccoon dog) is the source of this 116-nucleotide long non-coding RNA. RefSeq lists it as uncharacterized. Lineage: Eukaryota; Metazoa; Chordata; Mammalia; Carnivora; Canidae. The record is from RefSeq and is a predicted model, not a curated record. The transcript is spliced from 2 exons.
UCGUACCCGACGUCACAACCGCCGGGAACCGGGAGUCCGCCUCGGGCAGCAGGCCCGGCGCCGCAGGCCGCGGCUCACAGACCUGGGUGUAGACUCGUUUUGGACAGGAAUGGUGC